This 202-nucleotide long non-coding RNA is filed under the name Homo sapiens (human). RNAcentral's name for it is "HSALNT0259979". The record is from RNAcentral. Lineage: Eukaryota; Metazoa; Chordata; Mammalia; Primates; Hominidae.
AGAGGCGACAGGUGGUGCAGCGUUAGACACUGGGAAGCUCUGUGGCUUUUGUAUUCCUGAGCGCGAAGGUUAAUGACGGAUCCGUGGGGUUGAGCUUGUCGGUACAGACGCCAGACAGCCCGAUUUACGGGAACAGCCGAUUAGAGGAUUCGGGAGAGCGGUCGGUGAACUUCUGGAUGUCUUUCGGGAGGGGAAGGCUCUA